This 580-nucleotide ribosomal RNA is filed under the name uncultured bacterium. RNAcentral's name for it is "partial 16S ribosomal RNA". It matches the Rfam family "Bacterial small subunit ribosomal RNA", at positions 355 to 923 of the family's 1533-position model. The record is from RNAcentral.
CGGGGAAUUUUGGACAAUGGGCGAAAGCCUGAUCCAGCAAUGCCGCGUGUGUGAAGAAGGCCUUCGGGUUGUAAAGCACUUUUGUCCGGAAAGAAAUCCUUGGCUCUAAUACAGUCGGGGGAUGACGGUACCGGAAGAAUAAGCACCGGCUAACUACGUGCCAGCAGCCGCGGUAAUACGUAGGGUGCAAGCGUUAAUCGGAAUUACUGGGCGUAAAGCGUGCGCAGGCGGUUUGCUAAGACCGAUGUGAAAUCCCCGGGCUCAACCUGGGAACUGCAUUGGUGACUGGCAGGCUAGAGUAUGGCAGAGGGGGGUAGAAUUCCACGUGUAGCAGUGAAAUGCGUAGAGAUGUGGAGGAAUACCGAUGGCGAAGGCAGCCCCCUGGGGCCAAAUACUGACGCUCAUGCACGAAAAGCGUGGGGAGCAAACAGGAUUAGAUACCCUGGUAGUCCACGCCCUAAAACGAUGUCAACUAGUUGUUGGGGAUUCAUUUCCUUAGUAACGUAGCUAACGCGUGAAGUUGACCGCCUGGGGAGUAACGGUCGCAAGAUUAAAACUUAAAUGAAUUGACGGGGUCAUA